RNAcentral lists this ribosomal RNA (458 nucleotides) under uncultured bacterium. RNAcentral describes it as "partial 16S ribosomal RNA". It matches the Rfam family "Bacterial small subunit ribosomal RNA", at positions 338 to 795 of the family's 1533-position model. The record is from RNAcentral.
CCUACGGGCGGCAGCAGUGAGGAAUAUUGGUCAAUGGGCGAGAGCCUGAACCAGCCAAGUCGCGUGAGGGAGUACUGCCCUAUGGGUUGUAAACCUCUUUUGUCGGGGAGCAAAAGCCGGACGUGUCCGGCUGUGAGAGUACCCGAAGAAAAAGCAUCGGCUAACUCCGUGCCAGCAGCCGCGGUAAUACGGAGGAUGCGAGCGUUAGCCGGAUUUAUUGGGUUUAAAGGGUGCGCAGGCGGAUUUUUAAGUCAGCGGUAAAAUCGUGGGGCUCAACCCCAUCCAGCCGUUGAAACUGGGGAUCUAGAGUGUGCGAGAGGUAUGCGGAAUGCGUGGUGUAGCGGUGAAAUGCAUAGAUAUCACGCAGAACCCCGAUUGCGAAGGCAGCAUACCGGUGCACAACUGACGCUCAGGCACGAAAGCGUGGGUAUCGAACAGGAUUAGAUACCUCAGUAGUC